GAUGAACGCUGGCGGCGUGCCUAACACAUGCAAGUCGAACGAACAGACGAGGAUCUUUCUCUUCUGACGUUAGCGGCGGGCGGGUGAGUAACAGGUGGAUAACUAACCUAUAAGUCUGGGGUCAUUUCGGGAGAGCGGAGAUAAUAACAGAGCAUAUAUUGAACCGUAUGGUUCAAUAGUGAAAGACGGCUUUGCUGAAACUUAUAGAGGUAUACGAGCCGCAUUAGCUAGUUGGUAAGGUAACGGCUUACCAAGGCAACGAUGCGUAGCCGACCUGAGAGGGUGAUCGGCCACACUGGAACUGAGACACGGUCCAGACUCCUACGGGAGGCAGCAGUAGGGAAUCUUCCGCAAUGGGCGAAAGCCUGACAGAGCAACGCCGCGUGAGUGAUGAAGGUCUUCGGAUCGUAAAACUCUGUUAUUAGGGAAGAACAAAUGUGUAAUUAACUAUGCACGUCUUGACGGUACCUAAUCAGAAAGCCACGGCUAACUACGUG
Molecule: ribosomal RNA, 497 nt
Filed under: uncultured bacterium
Lineage: Bacteria
Description: partial 16S ribosomal RNA
Rfam family: Bacterial small subunit ribosomal RNA
Source: RNAcentral